UGAGAGACAUGAGCUCCCUGCCAGC
Molecule: non-coding RNA, 25 nt
Filed under: Rattus norvegicus (Norway rat)
Lineage: Eukaryota; Metazoa; Chordata; Mammalia; Rodentia; Muridae
Source: RNAcentral